CAUUUCAGUGUUUACUGCUUCGAGAGAAGACGGUGUAGUCGGAGGUGAUUAGAGGUUUAGCAUUGAUCGUGGACUUCGUCAGAUAAAAUACUGGAACCUUCUCAUUUUAUGGAUUGAUUACAACAGUUUUGAUUGAAAAGGACUACGGCAUCUAUACCUCUGGAUUUAUAAUGUCUGUUCUUCUGAGCAGCAGUCGAGGAGGCCCAUGGCAAACGCUGGUUCUUAUUCUUUGUCUUUUCAAGCUGAGCUCAGUGAGGGGACAGGCUCGAUACUCUGUACCGGAGGAGCAGACAGAAGGCUCGUUUGUCGGAAACAUAGCUCGAGAUUUAGGUUUGGAUGUGGGGAGGCUCAUAUCAGGUAAAGCUCGUAUCAUUACUAAAGGAAGCCGGCAGUACGUUGAUUUAAAUCGGGACAAAGGCGUGCUUGUUAUUAAAGAGCGCAUCGACCGAGAGGAUCUGUGUGGUAAGACGACGCCCUGUAGCUUCAGCUUCGAAGUGAUUUUAGAAAACCCAAUCCAGCUUUAUCGAGUAACAGUGGAGGUAGUGGACAUAAACGACAACAGCCCGUCAUUCCCAAAAGAGGAGAUCAAUCUGAAAAUUGUUGAAAAUGCUGCAGCAGGUACUCGCUUUUCACUCGAGAGUGCAUUUGACGCCGAUGUCGGUAUUAAUGAUAUUCAAAAAUACACUCUAAAACCAUCAGAUCAUUUUAAAUUGGAGGUCCAGAACCAGCCUGAUGGAGAAAGAUUCAUCGAAAUGGUUUUACAAAACCCGUUAGACCGAGAGAAAGAGGAGACUCACACGCUCGUGCUGCUUGCCUCAGAUGGAGGAGAGCCUCGUAGAUCAGGGACAGUGCGUAUUCGUAUCACUGUGCUUGAUGCUAAUGACAAUGCACCAGUUUGUAGCCAACCUGUCUAUAAAGCAGAGGUCAGGGAGAAUUCUCCUCAAGGAACAGUGGUGACCACAGUGAGUGCUAAUGACGCAGACAAAGGCGUAAAUGGAGAAGUGGCUUACUCCAUCGCUCAUGUGGCCAGAGAGGCGAGGCCACUUUUUGAGGUAAACGCAAAAACCGGAGAGGUAAGAGUAGCAGGUAAAUUGGAUUUUGAGAAAUCUAAGACAUAUCAGUUAAAAGUUCAGGCUAGUGACCACGGGGGAUAUACAGACACGUGCAAAGUUAUAAUUCAGAUUAUUGACGAAAAUGACAACGUGCCCACAAUCCAGCUGAUGUCAUUUUCUAACUCGAUAUCCGAGGACUCUCCUCCAGGUACAACUCUAGCUGUGAUUAAUGUAGAUGACGAAGACUCUGAAGGUAACGGUGUUGUCAGGUGCUCCAUUAACUCAGACGUUCCUUUCAAAAUUGAGUCUUCAUUAACAGGAUAUUACACAAUAAUCACGGAAGACUUCUUGGACAGGGAAAGUGUUCCUGAGUAUAAUAUCACUAUCAUCGUCUGUGACCAAGGCUCUCCGCCUUUGUCCAGUAGUACUGUCAUUAAUGUGAUAGUUUCUGACGUGAACGACAGCCCACCCAAAUUUUCACAAACAGAGUAUAGUAAGACUGUCCAAGAGAACAACUCUCCUGGAGUUUCUGUGUUUACUCUCAGUGCUAGUGAUGCAGACUGGGGUCAAAACUCUCGUGUUUCUUAUUUCCUGGAGGAGAAAGAAAUUCAUGGAGUCGCUGUGUCAUCCUUAGUGUCAGUGAAUUCAGAAAAUGGCGCCAUUCAUGCAGUGAGGUCAUUUGAUUAUGAGCAGAUCAAAUGGUUUGAAUUUAACGUAACUGCCCGUGAUGCUGGGUCUCCUCCUCUGAGUUCAGUGGCUAAGAUAAAAAUGGUGAUCCAGGACCAGAACGACAACCCUCCUCAGGUCCUGUACCCGGUCCAGACUGGUGGCUCUCUGGUGGCUGAGAUGGUGCCUCGUGCAGCAGAUGUGGGCUAUCUGGUGACUAAAGUGGUGGCUGUGGAUGUGGACUCUGGACAGAAUGCCUGGCUGUCGUAUAAACUGCAGAAAGCCACAGACAGGGCGCUGUUUGAAGUGGGCUUACAGAAUGGAGAAAUCCGAACUAUCCGCCAAGUGAGUGAUAAAGAUGCUGUGAAACAAAGACUGACUGUGAUAGUGGAGGACAACGGGCAGCCGUCUCGUUCAGCUACAGUCAUUGUGAACGUGGCGGUGGCGGACAGCUUCCCUGAAGUGCUGUCAGAGUUCACUGACUUUACACACGACAAGGAGUACAAUGACAACCUGACUUUUUACUUAGUGCUGGCUCUGGCUGUAGUGUCCUUCCUCUUCAUCACGUGUUUGGUGGUCAUUAUAUCCGUGAAAAUCUACAGAUGGAGACAGUCUCGUAUCCUGUAUCACUCCAGUCUUCCAGUGAUUCCCUAUUAUCCUCCACGUUACUCAGACACUCUGGGCACAGGGACUCUUCCACACGUGUACAAUUACGAGGUGUGCAGGACGACUGACUCGAGAAAGAGUGACUGUAAGUUCGGCAGAGCUGGUAGUCAGAACGUGCUGAUAAUGGACCCCAGUUCUACAGGGACCAUGCAGAGGAUACAGAGUGAGAAGAGCAUCCUGGACGAACCAGACUCUCCACUAGAGGUCAGUUCAUGUGUGACAUGCUGUGUGAGCCAACAUACAUUUAAUUUUUUUACCUUUUG
RNAcentral lists this long non-coding RNA (2647 nucleotides) under Xyrichtys novacula (pearly razorfish). Lineage: Eukaryota; Metazoa; Chordata; Actinopteri; Labriformes; Labridae. The record is from RNAcentral.